CAAAGGGAAGCGGACCGGUGACAGCGAGCAAAUCCCAGAAAUAACGUCCCAGUUCGGAUUGUAGUCUGCAACCCGACUACAUGAAGCUGGAAUCGCUAGUAAUCGCGGAUCAGAAUGCCGCGGUGAAUACGUUCCCGGGUCUUGUACACACCGCCCGUCACACCAUGGGAGUCGGAAAUGCCCGAAGUCAGUGACCCAACCGUAAGGAGGGAGCUGCCGAAGGUGGAGCCGGUAACUGGGGUGAAGUCGUAACAAGGUACC
Molecule: ribosomal RNA, 261 nt
Filed under: uncultured bacterium
Lineage: Bacteria
Description: partial 16S ribosomal RNA
Rfam family: Bacterial small subunit ribosomal RNA
Source: RNAcentral